CACAGUGAUCUCAUCUCGUCCUGGAAACUAAGCAAGAUUGGAUCUGGUUAGUAUUUGGAUGGGAGACCACCAGGAAAUUUCAGGAGUCUCUGGGG
This 95-nucleotide ribosomal RNA is filed under the name Pogona vitticeps (central bearded dragon). Lineage: Eukaryota; Metazoa; Chordata; Lepidosauria; Squamata; Agamidae. The record is from RNAcentral.